Molecule: long non-coding RNA, 410 nt
Filed under: Panicum hallii
Lineage: Eukaryota; Viridiplantae; Streptophyta; Magnoliopsida; Poales; Poaceae
Description: long non-coding RNA (PHAL_LNC000571)
Source: RNAcentral
GAAAAGAGUGCAAUACCUAUAAUCUGAGGAUACUUUAAAUCGUCUUAUACCUAUUCCAAAAAUAUAUUUCUGGAAUAAUGAUGUAGGUAAAUUUUUUUUGAAUAAAUCUGCAAGAGUUUCAUAUGAAUUGGUUUGCAAGAUUUCUAUCUCUCUAUUUUUCUAUAAUUUAUGAGGAUAGAAUAACUUAGGAGUAAUGUGUUUUGUAAUAUCGCUCUUUGUAUAACUUGAAUUCAUUUGUGCAAUACAAGCAGAAUUAUCAGCAUAGAUAAUUGUUGGUUUCUGAACCAAUAUCACAUGACUGUUGUAUAUGAUUGAUCAUUCUACGAAGCCAUACACACAUGUAUCACUCAUAUUUAAUUCGCCAAUUUAAAAUUCUGCAUUAGCAUAUUUAAAUUUCAAAUUUAUACCAU